Long non-coding RNA from Mauremys mutica (yellowpond turtle), 716 nucleotides. RefSeq lists it as uncharacterized. The record is from RefSeq and is a predicted model, not a curated record. The transcript is spliced from 3 exons. Lineage: Eukaryota; Metazoa; Chordata; Testudines; Geoemydidae.
CUCGUCGCCACUUGUUAUAUCCUUGGGGGCAGCCGGUUUAGGAAGAAAUCACUUGAGGCCAGAGAGCAGACAGCUAACAAAGGUACCAUUUAUUUACAGACAAGGAGCUCGCCUGACCAGCUCAAGCUGGCUCAGCUAUCCUCUAAUAAUCUAACUCAGUUGCCAUAGGAACAAAAACCAUGACAUCCAAAUACACAACAGCAUUGGAUGAGGUAGCUCCAUCACUAACCCAGAGAGAAGGGAGAAGCUGCCAGCAUCAGAGGGAGAACAUCUUCCCAACCCAGGAAGCAGGGAGAGCCCAGCCCUGCCCAGAGGAAAGGCAGGAUGUUGGAGAAGAGCGAUGGGGAGUCGAGUCUCUGGGCAUCUCCCAGCAAUAGAACCAACAUGAUCAUCCAUGAAGCCUCACAACCAUCCCAGGACACACAAUCUGACCUUGCUGAUCAAGGGAAUUGGAGGAAAGGCAUAUAGCACCUGGCCCAACCAGGACAGAAGGAAGGCAUCGGAGAUCAAGCCCUUGCCCAGGCUCCUCCUGGAGCAAAACUGGGGGCACCUGCAGUGCCCCACGUUUGGAAGAUCAUGUGUGCCACCUCCGGGUGCAGUGGCCACUCGUGCUAGGAGGAGACGUCCCUGCUCAGGCGAUCUGCUCAAGAGUUCCGGAUGCCAAGUAAGUGGUAGACUUCCAAGUCGAUAUUGUGGGUGAUGCAGAAAUCCUACAG